GAUGAACGCUGGCGGCGUGCCUAAUACAUGCAAGUCGAACGCUGAAGGAGGAGCUUGCUCUUCUGGAUGAGUUGCGAACGGGUGAGUAACGCGUAGGUAACCUGCCUGGUAGCGGGGGAUAACUAUUGGAAACGAUAGCUAAUACCGCAUGACAACAGUUAUUGCAUGAUAACUGUUUAAAAGGGGCAACUGCUCCACUACCAGAUGGACCUGCGUUGUAUUAGCUAGUUGGUGAGGUAACGGCUCACCAAGGCGACGAUACAUAGCCGACCUGAGAGGGUGAUCGGCCACACUGGGACUGAGACACGGCCCAGACUCCUACGGGAGGCAGCAGUAGGGAAUCUUCGGCAAUGGACGGAAGUCUGACCGAGCAACGCCGCGUGAGUGAAGAAGGUUUUCGGAUCGUAAAGCUCUGUUGUAAGAGAAGAACGAGUGUGAGAGUGGAAAGUUCACACUGUGACGGUAGCUUACCAGAAAGGGACGGCUAACUACGUG
This 495-nucleotide ribosomal RNA is filed under the name uncultured bacterium. RNAcentral's name for it is "partial 16S ribosomal RNA". It matches the Rfam family "Bacterial small subunit ribosomal RNA", at positions 28 to 507 of the family's 1533-position model. The record is from RNAcentral.